AGCAGCCGCGGUAAUUCCAGCUCCAAUAGCGUAUAUUAAAGUUGUUGCAGUUAAAAAGCUCGUAGUUGAAUUUCGGGAUCAGUUGGUCGGUCGUGCCUCGGUACGUACUGGUCAAAUUGAUUCCUACCUUCUGACGAACCACGAUGUCAUUAAUUUGGUGUCGCGGGAAAUCAGGACUGUUACUUUGAAAAAAUUAGAGCGUUUAAAGCAGGCUCGCGCUUGAAUACAUUAGCAUGGAAUAAUGAAAUAGGACGUUUGAUUCUAUUUUGUUGGUUUCUAGGAUCGACGUAAUGAUUAAUAGGGAUAGUUGGGGGCAUUAGUAUUCAAUUGUCAGAGGUGAAAUUCUUGGAUUUAUUGAAGACUAACUACUGCGAAAGCAUUUGCCAAGGAUGUUUUCAUUAAUCAAGAACGAAAGUUAGGGGAUCGAAGACGAUCAGAUACCGUCGUAGUCUUAACCAUAAACUAUGCCGACUAGGGAUCGGAUGAUGUUAAUUUUUUAAUGACUCAUUCGGCGCCUUAC
RNAcentral lists this unclassified non-coding RNA (520 nucleotides) under uncultured Glomus. Its description in RNAcentral is "SSU rRNA". It matches the Rfam family "Eukaryotic small subunit ribosomal RNA", at positions 569 to 1091 of the family's 1831-position model. Lineage: Eukaryota; Fungi; Glomeromycota; Glomeromycetes; Glomerales; Glomeraceae. The record is from RNAcentral.